Molecule: ribosomal RNA, 497 nt
Filed under: uncultured bacterium
Lineage: Bacteria
Description: partial 16S ribosomal RNA
Rfam family: Bacterial small subunit ribosomal RNA
Source: RNAcentral
GAUGAACGCUGGCGGCGUGCCUAAUACAUGCAAGUAGAACGCUGAAGGAAGGAGCUUGCUCUUUCCGGAUGAGUUGCGAACGGGUGAGUAACGCGUAGGUAACCUGCCUGGUAGCGGGGGAUAACUAUUGGAAACGAUAGCUAAUACCGCAUAACAGUAGAUGUUGCAUGACAACUAUUUGAAAGGGGCAAUUGCUCCACUACCAGAUGGACCUGCGUUGUAUUAGCUAGUUGGUGAGGUAACGGCUCACCAAGGCGACGAUACAUAGCCGACCUGAGAGGGGGAACGGCCAAACUGGGACUGAGACACGGCCCAGAAUCCUACGGGAGGCAGCAGUAGGGAAUCUUCGGCAAUGGACGGAAGUCUGACCGAGCAACGCCGCGUGAGUGAAGAAGGUUGUCGGAUCGUAAAGCUCUGUUGUAAGAGAAGAACGAGUGUGAGAGUGGAAAGUUCACACUGUGACGGUAUCUUACCAGAAAGGGACGGCUAACUACGUG